Molecule: transfer RNA, 73 nt
Filed under: Cordylochernes scorpioides
Lineage: Eukaryota; Metazoa; Arthropoda; Arachnida; Pseudoscorpiones; Chernetidae
Description: tRNA-Asn
Source: RNAcentral
CGUCCCCGGGUGGGCUCGAACCACAACCUUUCGGUUAACAGCCGAACGCGCUAGGCAAUUGUUCCACGGAGAC